RNAcentral lists this ribosomal RNA (422 nucleotides) under uncultured bacterium. RNAcentral describes it as "bacterial SSU rRNA". It matches the Rfam family "Bacterial small subunit ribosomal RNA", at positions 355 to 774 of the family's 1533-position model. The record is from RNAcentral.
UAAGGAAUAUUGGACAAUGGUCGCAAGACUGAUCCAGCCAUGCCACGUGCAGGAAGACGGCCCUAUGGGUUGUAACCUGCUUUUGUACCAGAGAAAACCUAUCUACGUGUAGAUAGCUGAUGGUAUGGUAAGAAUAAGCAUCGGCUAACUUCGUGCCAGCAGCCGCGGUAAGACGAAGGAUGCAAGCGUUAUCCGGAUUCAUUGGGUUUAAAGGGUGCGUAGGCGGGCUUGUAAGUCAGUGGUGAAAUCUCUCAGCUUAACUGAGAAACUGCCAUUGAUACUUCAGGCCUAGAGUAUAGAUGACGUUGGCGGAAUAUGACAUGCAGUGGUGAAAUACUUAGAUAUGACAUAGAACACCAAUUGCGAAGGCAGCUUACUACAUAUAAAUUGACGCUGAGGCACGAAAGCGUGGGGAUCAAACA